GGGGGGACGGGUGGCGGCGGCGGGCGCCAUCACCCCGCCGGGGCCCAUCAUCACCCCGCCGGCCGGGGCCAGCCCCCCCCUCCUCCCCGCCGCUCCCCUCACCUCAGGGGAGCGAGGGGCUGGAGGGGCCGCCUGCCUCAGCCCGGGUUGGGGGUGUCAUCCCGGGUCUUCCCCCCGCCACCGACCCCAACAUCACCCGUCCCCGGGCGCGGGGGGCCGGGCUCUGGCAGAGCCCCCGUACUACGGGGCGGCGGCCGGCAGGAGCACGGUGAAGUCGGCCUACAAAGAGCUGAGAGGGAGCUGUGCCCCGGCCGGGAAAGCUGAGGGUGCUGGCAGCCUUGCCCGCCCUCCCUCCCCUCCUCGGCUUCCCCGGGGAAGCGCCGGCAGCCGGUGUUGCAUCCUCUGGGCCAGCGCAGGGUUUGAAGCUGACAGCUGCUUUAACGUCUCACUAACGUUUUUGCUCUGCGCUGUAGUUAUCCUCUGUACUUAUCUCUGCUGCCAGUCGUACUAGUUCAUGGGGCUUUCUUCGCAAUCUUAAAAGCAGGUUGGAGCUUGUAACUUUUGAGCACGAGGGCUCAGCGACAAGGGUGCCUUGCUCUUGCAAACUGGGUUAAGUCAGCACAGAAAGGUUUUUUUCAGCUUGUGCAGUUCCUUUCUAGGAUCCAGGUGUCAAAACCGUGGGGUGGUCUUAUUUCUGUCAGAAUCGGUCCUCACUUCCAUCUUGCGGGAAGGUACGUUGUAGUAAUAUGUGCGUGCCAGAGCCCGCCACAGACUACAUCAGCUGCUUUUCCACACCGUCUUCUAAUUUUUUCCCAGUUGGCUGAUCUCUUUAACCAUAUUCCUUUUGCUGCCAAGGAUUUGAUGUGUCGUGAUGCCAUCUCCCACUCUAAAGUCUCCUGAAAACUUGGUUCGGUCUGCUUGUAAUUAUGUGAUUCAGAAGUCAGCGUAGCUGGUGUUUCCUCCUGUUUUUCUGCCAUCUCUCCUCUUCGUGCUUCCAGCUGGAAUUGUUCCAAAAUCCUGGAUUUCCUUGCCCUUUGUGGAGAAAUGGGGAGAGAGGAAUUGUGGUGUGUGGAUGUGGAAACGUUUGUUUUUGAGGGGAUGACUGGAUAUUUUACAAUGUGGUACUGUAUUAAAGUGGAUGUUAUGAAGAUGUCUUGUAAGAUAGUAAAGAACAGAAAUCAAACCCGCAGUAUCUGUUGAGCCACCUGUUCGUGCCGUAAUGAGCUGGACAAGAUUUUGAUACAGGAUGCCAAUAUUGAUCUGUGCUAUGUCUUGGACGUGGCUGAUGUGGAAGAGGGCCCAGGAGGACGCCAAGGGCUGCGUCACUGAUUCUUGACAGCCAGGAACCUGACCAAAACUCUGAUGAAGAGAAAGGAAUGUUUUUCUUCCACAACCUCCAUUUGUGUUGAUAGCCUGUCUUCCAUUCCUAGAAAUCUGCAGGCACUAUGGAAGCGAUAGGAAAUCUGAGGUUGCUAGACCCAUGCGGCUCCUACUGUUAACUGCUCAAUGCCUGGCAAAGUGGAAGGAACACAAGUGAAAAUUUUAGCUUUGUGAAAACCUCUGAAAAACAUGAAUAUGUAGUGCAAGCGUGGAGGGGAUUGUUCAAAGGUGAAAAGCAAAAAAAGCAGAGAGGCCAAGAUGGAGUGCCUCUUUCCGACCAAGGAGAUGGCAAAGAACAGGCUCCCUCUGUCCAGGAAGCUAGCUAAAGAGAUCUUCAAAACAGCAAGUAAAGUCUUACAGUGACCUAGUAAACUGCAGAACUGGCCGCGGGCUGCGGGCUGUAGAAGCAGCCAUUAGAAAUACUGAACGCCAUUGGAAGGUGUGAUCCAUGACAGCUGCCAUUUGUUCUACACAUCCUUCUCUUGAUGUCCUGCUAUAUCAUAUCAGCUGUAAGCUUCAUUGGCCCCAGGGUAGGCUUUGGAGGCAAUCUACCACUGGAAGACCCUUCAGCAGCACCUUUGCAUGGUAGUGAAAGCAGCAGGGUGGGGGAAGAGUGUUUUAAGCUGAUGUGUGCAGGUACCAUGCUGUUUGAGCCCCCAGCCCUCCUGCCUGGCACCAUGAAGAAAGGCUGCAGUGAGCUGCUCAGCUGACAUGUCCCCUGGUACUUUAGACGACACCCUGCCCACUCACACUGCUGAAGGAUUUGAACUCACAGAAGAAUUAAGCUGAUGAUGAGGCCUGAAGAAACUGAAGUUCGUGUGCCUCUGCGCUGGUGGCCUGUUAUUUUAUUGAUCUUUAUAUGUGUAACAGUGUGUUUGAGAGAUCUUCCUGAGUCCCUGACCUCUACUGGUGCACUAGCCUAAACAGUGAGCCUGUCUGCUGUGCUUCCAGGAAUUCCUGAAAGUGCGCAAUGGGCAAAACAAGCCCUACACAUCAACACACAGCCUUCCAUUCAUGUCCCAAUCGAGCCUCUGAACAGUUGCUGAUUUCCCUCUCAAUACAUUUACACCCAGUGGUCUCCUUUAAGAAGAAAACCAAAAGAACAACUGAUAAAGGCAAAACUCAGUCCUUUGUAGCAUGAAAUAGAAAGACUAUGUGGCCUUCCAGAGCAGAGUGCUUUGCUACCCUUUGCAGACUAUGCCAAGUAGUUCAAAGCCUUAGGUAGGGCAUGCAUCUAAAGUAGGCACGUGAAGGCGAUUGUCUCUCUCGUAGCUGUCUGGCUUUUGCAGGCACAUACAUAUGCUCUGUGUGACCCUUAACAUUUGAGGAAAGCAUUGCUUAGGCUGCCUUAAACCUUCUAACCAGCACUUGCUGUCUGUGCUUCAGCUUUUCCAGAUGCAUGUAUCACUAUAGUUUUGAAAGCUGCUUAAGUGUUAUUUGUGGGGUUUUGGGUUCCCUAACACUUUAGAUUUCUAAUAAAGGUCUUCUACUACUACACAGCUGAUGUAAGUGGUAAAGGUAGUCCCUCCUUGAAUGCACAUUGUGUUAGCUGUGGUAGCAAUUCAGGCUGUGGUAGCAAAGAAUGUUGGGCAGGCUUGAAGACUGUAAUCAUUGUGAACUGCUUUAAACCAUACGUUUUAGGCAAAUCUAGUACAGAUUUCAGACUGGUCUUAGUGCAUAGUGAAGGGAAGUACAUCUUUCUGGGCAUGAUUUUGGAACGUGUAUGUAAGGAUGGCUAGUGGAAAUAUGGAUUUCAUUGAGUUGUAGCAUGGCACAGGCGUGCCUACCCAUAGGGCUAUCGGUAGGUGAUAGCAUUUACAACUCCUGCUAGAAGUGCCUUUUUAACAGAAAUGCGUAUCUUGAUUGCAACAGCUAUUGAGCAACUGUACCAGCAUGCUUGGCCGCCAACAGAUGUGUAAGCAUGGAGGUGACCAGAGAGCAGGUAGCCAGUUGGUCCUGAAUGGGUGAUGAAGGUCUCCUUGGUCUGCCACUGCCACGCCACCAUUGUGACCGCUCUGUGCGAGUGUCCUCAGCUGUACUGUAUGAGAGACAUGGGUUUUUACCAGAAAUGGUGCUACACUAUUCCGUUCUGAGAAAAAUCCUUCCUGAAGCACUGUCGUCUUGUCCUCGUUUUCCGCUUUGUUUCUGUCCACUUUUUCCUUCUCUUGAUGCCUCUUCAGGGAAGGGCAAAAGAAAUUGUGGUUGUUGCAGUAACUGCAGUCAAAGCUUGUUGGUAAUACAGCUGCGGGCUUGCAAAACUGCAGCUCUCCACUGGUGAAAUGUCCAAAUAUGCUUGUAUAAAUUGCUUUGUGUGUCUGCCUCUCAGCACUGUAGCGUAAAGUACCUAAAGUUUUGUUACGAGCUUGGAAAGAAUGCUUAUUUGUGUUCUCUCCUUCCCCUCUGCCCUAUUAGAAAACAAAGGGGGAGAUCAAAUAUGCAAAACACUUACGAGAUGCUCUAGGUUUUGGUGCUUGGGUGUGCUCUGCAGUGAGGUCUGGCUGGCUGGUUCCUCUGGCUGUCCCGUCAUACAUACUCUGGGGGAGCCGUAGCACUCUGUGCAGCAGGGACUGUGGAGUACCCAGCUAAGGAAUUUCUUUGGAGAAAAUAUCUCUUCCCCUUUCUGUUUUCCUUGCUCAGAAACAUGUAUUAAGCAGAAGUGGAAGUGGGAUGUUCAUUUAAAUGUGGCCUUUAAUAAUUUGUUACUUCAAAAUGAGAUGCUUGGUAUUCUUACUUGCUUUGAAGUAUAUCUUCCAACGUAAAUGAACUCUGAGGUCAGACAAAUAACCUUGUACGGUGUCACAAGGAAAUAGCUGUCAGCAAAGCUGGUUUAAAAAAAAAACCAACACAUCAGGAAGUGGUCCAUGAAAAAGAG
Non-coding RNA from Phalacrocorax carbo (great cormorant), 4252 nucleotides. NCBI's taxonomy places the organism in Eukaryota, Metazoa, Chordata, Aves, Suliformes, Phalacrocoracidae. The record is from RefSeq and is a predicted model, not a curated record.